UAGCUGUGGGUUUUGUCAACGAUG
Molecule: non-coding RNA, 24 nt
Filed under: Mus musculus (house mouse)
Lineage: Eukaryota; Metazoa; Chordata; Mammalia; Rodentia; Muridae
Source: RNAcentral